This 700-nucleotide ribosomal RNA is filed under the name Thermococcus sp. Tc85-CRC-I. RNAcentral's name for it is "bacterial SSU rRNA". It matches the Rfam family "Archaeal small subunit ribosomal RNA", at positions 4 to 698 of the family's 1478-position model. The record is from RNAcentral. Lineage: Archaea; Methanobacteriati; Methanobacteriota; Thermococci; Thermococcales; Thermococcaceae.
CCCGUUGAUCCUGCCGGAGGCCACUGCUAUGGGGGUCCGACUAAGCCAUGCGAGUCAUGGGGCGCGCUCUGCGCGCACCGGCGGACGGCUCAGUAACACGUCGGUAACCUACCCUCGGGAGGGGGAUAACCCCGGGAAACUGGGGCUAAUCCCCCAUAGGCCUGAGGUACUGGAAGGUCCUCAGGCCGAAAGGGGCAUCUGCCCGCCCGAGGAUGGGCCGGCGGCCGAUUAGGUAGUUGGUGGGGUAACGGCCCACCAAGCCGAAGAUCGGUACGGGCCAUGAGAGUGGGAGCCCGGAGAUGGACACUGAGACACGGGUCCAGGCCCUACGGGGCGCAGCAGGCGCGAAACCUCCGCAAUGCGGGCAACCGCGACGGGGGGACCCCCAGUGCCGUGGCAUCGCCACGGCUUUUCCGGAGUGUAAAAAGCUCCGGGAAUAAGGGCUGGGCAAGGCCGGUGGCAGCCGCCGCGGUAAUACCGGCGGCCCGAGUGGUGGCCGCUAUUAUUGGGCCUAAAGCGUCCGUAGCCGGGCCCGUAAGUCCCUGGCGAAAUCCCACGGCUCAACCGUGGGGCUUGCUGGGGAUACUGCGGGCCUUGGGACCGGGAGAGGCCGAGGGUACCCCUGGGGUAGGGGUGAAAUCCUAUAAUCCCAGGGGGACCGCCAGUGGCGAAGGCGCCCCGCUGGAACGGGUCCGACGGU